CCUACGGGGGGCAGCAGUGAGGAAUAUUGGUCAAUGGACGAGAGUCUGAACCAGCCAAGUAGCGUGAAGGAUGACUGCCCUAUGGGUUGUAAACUUCUUUUAUAAAGGAAUAAAACGAGGCACGUGUGCCUUUUUGCAUGUACUUUAUGAAUAAGGAUCGGCUAACUCCGUGCCAGCAGCCGCGGUAAUACGGAGGAUCCGAGCGUUAUCCGGAUUGAUUGGGUUUAAAGGGAGCGUAGAUGGGUUGUUAAGUCAGUUGUGAAAGUUCGCGGCUCAACCGUAAAAUUGCAAUUGAUACUGGCAGUCUUGAGUACAGUUGAGGUAGGCGGAAUUCGUGGUGUAGCGGUGAAAUGCUUAGAUAUCACGAAGAACCCCGAUUGCGAAGGCAGCUUACUAAACUGUGACUGACAUUGAUGCUCGAAAGUGUGGGUAUCAAACAGGAUUAGAUACCCUUGUAGUC
This 460-nucleotide ribosomal RNA is filed under the name uncultured bacterium. Its description in RNAcentral is "partial 16S ribosomal RNA". It matches the Rfam family "Bacterial small subunit ribosomal RNA", at positions 338 to 795 of the family's 1533-position model. The record is from RNAcentral.